This 253-nucleotide ribosomal RNA is filed under the name uncultured bacterium. Its description in RNAcentral is "partial 16S ribosomal RNA". It matches the Rfam family "Bacterial small subunit ribosomal RNA", at positions 524 to 776 of the family's 1533-position model. The record is from RNAcentral.
UACGUAGGUGGCGAGCGUUGUCCGGAUUUACUGGGCGUAAAGGGCGCGCAGGCGGCGAUCUUUGUCAGACGUGAAAUCCCCCGGCUUAACCUGGGAACUGCGUCUGAUACUGGACGGCUUGAGUAUGGGAGAGGGAUGUAGAAUUCCAGGUGUAGCGGUGAAAUGCGUAGAUAUCUGGAGGAAUACCGGUGGCGAAGGCGGCAUCCUGGACCAUUACUGACACUGAUGAACGAAAGCCAGGGGAGCAAACGGG